Molecule: non-coding RNA, 21 nt
Filed under: Caenorhabditis elegans
Lineage: Eukaryota; Metazoa; Nematoda; Chromadorea; Rhabditida; Rhabditidae
Source: RNAcentral
UGUUUUUGAUUCAUAAAAAAC